GCGAGUGCCAUUGCCGCUCUCCGCGAGCGCGUACACACUCAUGUCGACAAGCGCGGCUAGCCCGGCGCAGCGGUCGCCUGGUCAGAGCCAGUGGAGCCUGAGCACGCCUGUCUCCAGCAGACCACAGCACAAACUGCGCAGCAGCGUCCCUAUCGUGUCGGAUGCGUAUUGGACGCCCGACUUCGCUCACAUGGAAACUGCUCGACGACAGAAGCCAUGGCGCUUCGACUCGCUCUUCUUCGAGUCUGUCUCGGUGUCGCUGGCGGCCACAGUGAAGAUGUUUCUUCACGGCACGCGUGGCUGCCCUGACAUGUCACAGGGCCGCUUCAACUGGUUCGAGGUGAUGGGGCUCUUAAUUGGGCAUUUCAGCCACCGCGAGCUCAUAUUGACCGACAGCUUCAGCUUGCCUGUCGCUGCCUCGGAGGUGGAGUGCAGCAUGACGGAAGCCUCACAGAUUUACAUGGCCAACUACCUUGAAUACCACCGCCGCCUCGGCAAGGCAGAACCAGGGUGUCUUGGGUGGUACCACACCCACCCCGGCUACUCCUGCUUUCUCUCCGGCAUCGAUGUGACGACGCAGCGGGACAGUCAACAGAUGCAGGAUCCCUGGGUGGCGCUGGUGAUCGAUCCAGUCAAAACGCUACGGACUGGCCAGUUCUCCAUGAAGGCGUUCCGCACGUAUCCUGAGGGGGACUUUCAGGGUCAGCGUCCUCGGAGUGCGUCUCACAGCGCUGUUGACGGGGCUCAACCUGCAGCGUCUCCCGCCAGCGCCACCGCCUCUACUAUGUCUGACGAUUACGGGCUUCCUCCUUCCAACCGCGUGAAGGAGUUUGGCAUGCACGCGCACCGAUACUACGAGCUGCCCGUACGCAUAGUGCAGAGCGCGCGCGAUGCGCCACUGUGGGAGCUUCUGCAGCGACACUUCUGGCCUCUCUCGCUCUCCCUCACCUUUCCGUUCGCGCCGUCGACAAGGAUCUGCAACUGCUGUUCUGCCGAGCUCGCCAAGAUGGUGUCUGCCCUGGGGGCACGGGCACAGGACUCGUGCACAUGUGAGCGGUCUCCUCUGGCAUGUGAUAGCUUUUCUCGUAGAGGCAGCGUGGGCAGCAUGCCGCUGCUCUAUCAGUCAAGCAAAGUCGUUGGAAGUGCCCAGGCGUGCAGCGGCGGCGAUGGCAGUGCAGACGCCGACGAUGCGGCAGAAAUGGAGCAACGACUUCUCGCCAUUACAGGCGAGGUACUUCGAGUCAGAGCGGAAUCCUUCUCGUUGAUCGGCGCUUCACACCCUGUGCACGCAGAGCUGCUUGCUGCGAUGCGUGCCGUUGCCGCGGCUGCAGGACCUGCAACAACAGACAAGAGACAUGGCUGCACAUCACUAGGGACCGCUCGCAACGCGCGAAACGAGGCGUCCUUCUCGUCAUUGUUCACGUCCAGGCGCGAUGACCCAAUGGAGGAGGAGGAGGAGGCGUGAAAGGGUGGUGUGUGCUGUCGUGAUGGAGCGUUUCACGCGCGGAGAAAAUAAGAUCGGCAUCCCACUGGCUCGAGUCGGCGCAUGCGAGUGUGCGUGCUCUUUGUGGACUGCUUCACUCUCAGCGGCGUUGCUCUCUUCCUUUGCGUCGCUCUCUUUCCCUUAAACGAUGACGUCUCUCCUUCAGCCCUCUUGACACCCGAUGCCUCUGUGCUGGCCCAUCCCAUCCCAUCCCACUCUCCGUCUGUUAUUUGCAUGCUUCGCUUUUCGUUAUGCCGCGUGCAACGUUGUUGACAUCGACGAGUUCGAAGAGGGGUACACCACAGGAAAGUGAGCUCUCUACAUUUCAUCCGUCUUUACCAUCCUUGCCCGUGAGUGUAUCAACAGAAAGGGAGAAGUACAGACAGUGGCAGUCUCACGCACCGCACAGGCUCAGACAGCCAUGCGGCACAUCCACUGUUUCUCCAUGAAUCGCUGAGGAGGAUGAAAGCUGAGGCGCGACGGCUGCGUGUGAG
Molecule: unclassified non-coding RNA, 1977 nt
Filed under: Leishmania donovani
Lineage: Eukaryota; Euglenozoa; Kinetoplastea; Trypanosomatida; Trypanosomatidae
Description: gene:LdHU3.16.1020(CDS-product:COP9_signalosome_c omplex_subunit_5_putative)
Source: RNAcentral